Molecule: ribosomal RNA, 468 nt
Filed under: uncultured bacterium
Lineage: Bacteria
Description: partial 16S ribosomal RNA
Rfam family: Bacterial small subunit ribosomal RNA
Source: RNAcentral
GACGAACGCUGGCGGCGUGCUUAACACAUGCAAGUCGAACGGAAAGGCCCUGCUUUUGUGGGGUGCUCGAGUGGCGAACGGGUGAGUAACACGUGAGUAACCUGCCCUUGACUUUGGGAUAACUUCAGGAAACUGGGGCUAAUACCGGAUAGGAGCUCCUGCUGCAUGGUGGGGGUUGGAAAGUUUCGGCGGUUGGGGAUGGACUCGCGGCUUAUCAGCUUGUUGGUGGGGUAGUGGCUUACCAAGGCUUUGACGGGUAGCCGGCCUGGGAGGGUGACCGGCCACAUUGGGACUGCGGUACGGCCCAGACUCCUACGGGAGGCAGCAGUGGGGAAUAUUGCACAAUGGGCGGAAGCCUGAUGCAGCAACGCCGCGUGCGGGAUGACGGCCUUCGGGUUGUAAACCGCUUUCGCCUGUGACGAAGCGUGAGUGACGGUAAUGGGUAAAGAAGCACCGGCUAACUACGUG